RNAcentral lists this unclassified non-coding RNA (231 nucleotides) under plant metagenome. Its description in RNAcentral is "partial contains small subunit ribosomal RNA, internal transcribed spacer 1, and 5.8S ribosomal RNA". The record is from RNAcentral.
UCUCCGUAGGUGAACCUGCGGAGGGAUCAUUACAGAGUUCUCGCCCUUACGGGUAGAUCUCCCACCCACUGUUAUCGUUACUGUCGUUUCUUUGGCGGGCCGCCGGGUCCCCCGGCCGCCGGCGUCGAAUAGGCGGCCCGCGCACGACAGCGGUCUUCAAACUCUGAAUGUUAGUGUCGUCUGAGUACUAUAUAAUAGUUAAAACUUUCAACAACGGAUCUCUUGGUUCUG